RNAcentral lists this ribosomal RNA (252 nucleotides) under uncultured bacterium. RNAcentral's name for it is "partial 16S ribosomal RNA". It matches the Rfam family "Bacterial small subunit ribosomal RNA", at positions 524 to 776 of the family's 1533-position model. The record is from RNAcentral.
UACGUAGGGCGCAAGCGUUAUCCGGAAUUAUUGGGCGUAAAGAGCUCGUAGGCGGUUUGUCGCGUCUGCCGUGAAAGUCCGGGGCUCAACUCCGGAUCUGCGGUGGGUACGGGCAGACUAGAGUGAUGUAGGGGAGACUGGAAUUCCUGGUGUAGCGGUGAAAUGCGCAGAUAUCAGGAGGAACACCGAUGCGAAGGCAGGUCUCUGGGCCAUUACUGACACCGAGAAGCGAAAGCAUGGGGAGCGAACAGG